Passer domesticus (house sparrow) is the source of this 653-nucleotide long non-coding RNA. RefSeq lists it as uncharacterized. The transcript has 3 exons. The record is from RefSeq and is a predicted model, not a curated record. Lineage: Eukaryota; Metazoa; Chordata; Aves; Passeriformes; Passeridae.
UUUUCAGUUCUUUGCUCCAGCAGGGUUUGUAUCAGUCACAGAGCAGCCAGGGCUCCAUGGUUCCCCCAUCCUGACCAUCCCCACAAAUCCUGGAGAAAUCUGCCUUCUACAAAUUUGCCUUUCAGAUGGAAAAUACCUGCUCUGGGGAGGCUUUCCUACCUUGUCCUCCAUUCUCUGCAUCCAUUCCCCAAGUCCCCUGAUCCAGGCAGGAGGGCUCAGCACCAGUGCUCAGCACCCUGAGCCAGGCAGGAAUGCCCAGCAGGGCUGGAGGUGUCUGCAGGACAGGAUGAGCUGGAUGCAGACCUUGGCCCUCAGCUCCAACCACAGGGUUUUUUCUCCUGAGAAGCUGAGAGGCUUCAGAGGGAAAGAAAAACAAUAAUUAUCUGCUGCUGCUGUGGAAUGCAACAGGUGCAUCUUUGAUGGGUCCGUGUAAGUUGUUUCUACUUAAAGACCAACCAUGGUCCAGCUGUGUGGGCUCUCUGAGAGUCACGGGUUUUUCUUAUCAUUCCAUUCCAUUCCAUUCCAUUCCAUUCCAUUCCAUUCCAUUCCAUUCCAUUCCAUUCCAUUCCAUUCCAUUCCACCUUUCUGUCUGUGUCAUUUUCUCUAUUCUUUUAGUAUAGCAUUUUUAAUAUAAUAUAAUAUCAUAAAAUAAU